UACGGAGGGUGCGAGCGUUGUCCGGAAUCACUGGGCGUAAAUGGCGCGUAGGCGGCUCGGUAAGUAGGGGGUGAAAUCCUGCGGCUUAACCGCAGGGCUGCCUUCUAAACUGUCGAGCUCGAGCACGGUAGAGGCAGAUGGAAUUCCCGGUGUAGCGGUGGAAUGCGUAGAGAUCGGGAAGAACAUCAGUGGCGAAGGCGGUCUGCUGGGCCGUUGCUGACGCUGAGGCGCGACAGCGUGGGGAGCAAACAGG
This 253-nucleotide ribosomal RNA is filed under the name uncultured bacterium. Its description in RNAcentral is "partial 16S ribosomal RNA". It matches the Rfam family "Bacterial small subunit ribosomal RNA", at positions 524 to 776 of the family's 1533-position model. The record is from RNAcentral.